CCAAGGCUGAGGAGGGAGCUGGGACUCGAGACCCUGCUCCACCCUGCCGGCUCCCGCUCGGCCCCAUUGCCUGGCAAGCCCCGGCAUCUUCGACCCACGUCCGUGGCGCUGCCUGGGUAGGAACGCGCCUGAAGACCGCGCAGGACACUACCACUGAGCAUCCUGGGUUUGAUGCAGACAUCCAGAUCUGAUGAGGCAUGGCUGCCCCGGGAUUACUGGGCUCGGACGGGAGCAGUGGUAGGAAGGAUCCUAUGUAAGUCAUGUGAGACAUAGAAUGUUCAGAUCAACUGAAGCUGAAACAAGCCUUUGGCAUCAUAUAUAACCCAGAAAGGGACACAGCUGAUCCCAGAGGACUCAAGGCUAUGUCAAAGGUGCAGAAGAAUCGAGUUGGAAAGACCAGCAGGAGACAGUCAGAGUAAGGUUCCUUGAAUGCUUGGUUUAUGUGCCUGGCUGGAGGAGACACCCAUGGCCUUGCAGAGGGAGCGAUCUGGUGGGAAAGCAGACAAAACCCACCCCAGGCCCGUGGUUUCCCUGCAACAAGCCCAGUGGCUUUCUGGAGGACACUUUUCCUGGAGGAAGUGAUUCAAGAGCAGCAUACGCCAGGCUCUAUGGAAUGUUGGGUGAGCUGCUUGAGGACCUCCAAGGCCUGUCCCACAGUCUUCCAGCCUCCGACUCUCCGGCCCUCAGUGUG
RNAcentral lists this long non-coding RNA (691 nucleotides) under Mus caroli (Ryukyu mouse). RNAcentral's name for it is "lncRNA (MGP_CAROLIEiJ_G0005670.1)". Lineage: Eukaryota; Metazoa; Chordata; Mammalia; Rodentia; Muridae. The record is from RNAcentral.